Molecule: ribosomal RNA, 506 nt
Filed under: uncultured bacterium
Lineage: Bacteria
Description: partial 16S ribosomal RNA
Rfam family: Bacterial small subunit ribosomal RNA
Source: RNAcentral
GAUGAACGCUAGCGGCAGGCCUAACACAUGCAAGUCGAGGGGUAACUAGAGUGAUAGCAAUAUUACUUUGGCUAGACCGGCGCACGGGUGCGUAACACGUAUGCAACCUACCUUAUACUGGGGAAUAACUUCGGGAAAUCGGCGCUAAUACCCCAUAACAUUGCGAAGAGGCAUCUCUUUGCAAUUAAAGCUCCGGCGGUAUAAGAUGGGCAUGCGUCCAAUUAGCUAGUUGGUGAGGUAACGGCUCACCAAGGCUACGAUUGGUAGGGGUUUUGAGAGGAUGAUCCCCCACACGGGUACUGAGACACGGCCCAGACUCCUACGGGAGGCAGCAGUGAGGAAUAUUGCGCAAUGGACGAAAGUCUGACGCAGCCAUGCCGCGUGCAGGAUGACGGCCCUAUGGGUUGUAAACUGCUUUUGUACGGGAAUAAACCCUUCUACGUGUAGGAGGCUGAAGGUACCGUAAGAAUAAGCACCGGCUAACUCCGUGCCAGCCGCCGCCGUAA